RNAcentral lists this unclassified non-coding RNA (253 nucleotides) under uncultured Rhodospirillales bacterium. RNAcentral describes it as "contains 16S-23S intergenic spacer region". It matches the Rfam family "Bacterial small subunit ribosomal RNA", at positions 524 to 776 of the family's 1533-position model. The record is from RNAcentral. Lineage: Bacteria; Pseudomonadati; Pseudomonadota; Alphaproteobacteria; Rhodospirillales.
UACGGAGGGGGCUAGCGUUGUUCGGAAUUACUGGGCGUAAAGCGCACGUAGGCGGUUGAUCAAGUUAGGCGUGAAAGCCCCAGGCUUAACCUGGGAAUUGCGCUUAAUACUGGUCGGCUUGAGUCCGGGAGAGGGUGGUGGAAUUCCCAGUGUAGAGGUGAAAUUCGUAGAUAUUGGGAGGAACACCAGUGGCGAAGGCGGCCACCUGGACCGGUACUGACGCUGAGGUGCGAAAGCGUGGGGAGCAAACAGG